RNAcentral lists this transfer RNA (101 nucleotides) under Daucus carota subsp. sativus. It matches the Rfam family "tRNA". Rfam says of the family: Transfer RNA (tRNA) molecules are approximately 80 nucleotides in length. Lineage: Eukaryota; Viridiplantae; Streptophyta; Magnoliopsida; Apiales; Apiaceae. The record is from Rfam by way of RNAcentral.
AGGGAAGUAGCUUAAUGGUAGAGCAAAAAAUUAUCCAAUUUUCUUGGGAUGUUAGUGAUUCAUGCGGAACAAGGUUCGAGGUUCGGAUCCUCGCAUCUCCG